UUGAACGCUGGCGGCAGGCCUAACACAUGCAAGUCGAGCGGAAACGACAACAUUGAAUCUUCGGAGGAUUUGUUGGGCGUCGAGCGGCGGACGGGUGAGUAAUGCCUAGGAAAUUGCCUUGAUGUGGGGAAUAACCAUUGGAAACGAUGGCUAAUACCGCAUAAUGCCUACGGGCCAAAGAGGGGGACCUUCGGGCCUCUCGCGUCAAGAUAUGCCUAGGUGGGAUUAGCUAGUUNGUGAGGUAAUGGCUCACCAAGGCGACGAUCCCUAGCUGGUCUGAGAGGAUGAUCAGCCACACUGGAACUGAGACGCGGUCCAGACUCCUACGGGAGGCAGCAGUGGGGAAUAUUGCACAAUGGGCGAAAGCCUGAUGCAGCCAUGCCGCGUGUAUGAAGAAGGCCUUCGGGUUGUAAAGUACUUUCAGUUGUGAGGAAGGGUGUGUAGUUAAUAGCUGCGCAUCUUGACGUUAGCAACAGAAGAAGCACCGGCUAACUCCGUGCCAGCAGCCGCGGUAAUAC
RNAcentral lists this ribosomal RNA (518 nucleotides) under uncultured marine bacterium. Its description in RNAcentral is "bacterial SSU rRNA". It matches the Rfam family "Bacterial small subunit ribosomal RNA", at positions 30 to 526 of the family's 1533-position model. The record is from RNAcentral.